Cervus elaphus (red deer) is the source of this 1240-nucleotide RNA transcript. It is a transcript of the gene named transformation/transcription domain-associated protein-like, with no coding region annotated. The record is from RefSeq and is a predicted model, not a curated record. NCBI's taxonomy places the organism in Eukaryota, Metazoa, Chordata, Mammalia, Artiodactyla, Cervidae. The transcript is spliced from 3 exons.
CUUUGUCUUUUCUCGCCAAUGCCGUUCAUCCUGAGGGUUCCCCUGGAUCCUGCUGGGGCUGGACCCCGGCAAGUGGCGCCACGAACAGGAACCCAAAGGUGCUGGCCCAGGUCACCGGGAAAGCAUGACCAUGAUCAUGGAGCUUCACAAGGAGGUCCUCCAGGACAUGGCCCCCCCUAAGAAGCACCUGCUGUGACAGACAGCCCGCCAAUGCCCAGAUGGGCCUGAUAAACAAAAACACGUUCUGCACCACGCUGCAGCCCCAGCUCUUCACGAUGGACCUCAACGUGGUGGAGCACAAGAUCGCAGCCUUAAAUGCGCUUGCGGCCUGCAAUUAUCUUCCUCAGUCCAGAAAAAAGAUCAUUGCUGCGCUCUUCAAAGCCCUGAAUUCAACCAAUAGCAAGCUCCAGGAGGCCGGAAAAGCCUGCAUGAAAAAGUUUUUAAAAGGUGCUACCAUGAAAGUAGACCAGAUCCACACUCACAUGCGCCCGCUGUUGAUGAUGCUGGGAGACUAUCGGAGCCUGACGCUCAACGUCGUCAAUCUUCUGACCUCUCAAUAUAAUAUUUGUUCCUUUGUGGUGCUGCGACGCCCAACUUACCUUAUGGUGCCCGUCUCAGUGAGUGCCUUUUGGUAUGACAUUUAUGGUAUAGUCGUUCUGCAACAACUGCAAGAUUUCAUGCGAUCCUGAUGGUUUUUAGGACUACUUAUCUUAGGGAUUUCAGCUUUAAUAACAGCAAUUACCUCUGUCACUGUGGCAGCAAUAUCAUUGACUCACCAGAUGGAUCCAACGAACUCACAUGGCUUCCUCUUCGGAAGACUCGACCCACAGGGGCCCCCAGCAUUCAAAAUGGAAACGAAACAAAAAAAACCCCAGGAGGAAGAAAUUCCAAUACCAGCCACGUUGGCUCUAAAGAUCUCCAGGAAGCACCACCCUUGGCGACAUCAACCUUAUGAGUCCUGAAAACCUUACUGCUAUGCUCGCUCCAUUUGCCUGCAUGACCCCCCUGCCCCCUACCCCGCUGGAGCCAGAAUAACUAAUCAGACUUACUGGGUUUACUUACCCAACCCCCCUUUAUUGCAGGUCGUAGAAUGAAUGGAGAAAGGACUGAUUGUAUCAACCAAUGACUACUCCCAUAUGCCUCCUCCCUGUAACGUGAAGGAGCCCUAACACCCUGGGGAGGAGGGAAAACUAAUUAACAUUUCUUUAGGCUAUGAAGUCCUUCCUUUGUGCCUGGGCCC